RNAcentral lists this ribosomal RNA (424 nucleotides) under uncultured bacterium. RNAcentral describes it as "partial 16S ribosomal RNA". It matches the Rfam family "Bacterial small subunit ribosomal RNA", at positions 360 to 776 of the family's 1533-position model. The record is from RNAcentral.
AAUUAUGGACAAUGUGCGCGAGCCUGAUCCAGCAUUUCCGCGAGAGUUCAUAAGGCCUACUGUCUGCAAAUCUUCUUCGAGCGGAAAGAAAUCACCCAGACUACUCCCCCCCGCGGCUCACGGCACCGUCUUAAGCAGUACCGGCAAACUACCUUCCAACAUCCGCGGUAAUACGUAGGGUGCGAGCGUUAAUCGGAAUUACUGGGCGUAAAGCGUGCGCAGGCGGUUGAUUAAGACAGGCGUGAAAUCCCCGGGCUUAACCUGGGAACUGCGCUUGUGACUGGUCAGCUAGAGUACGGCAGAGGGGGGUGGAAUUCCACGUGUAGCAGUGAAAUGCGUAGAGAUGUGGAGGAACACCGAUGGCGAAGGCAGCCCCCUGGGCCGAUACUGACGCUCAUGCACGAAAGCGUGGGUAGCAAACAGG